Molecule: ribosomal RNA, 429 nt
Filed under: Actinomycetes bacterium
Lineage: Bacteria; Bacillati; Actinomycetota; Actinomycetes
Description: Actinobacteria bacterium partial 16S ribosomal RNA
Rfam family: Bacterial small subunit ribosomal RNA
Source: RNAcentral
UAGGGAAUCUUCCGCAAUGGGCGAAAGCCUGACGGAGCAACGCCGCGUGAGUGAUGAAGGUCUUCGGAUCGUAAAACUCUGUUAUUAGGGAAGAACAAAUGUGUAAGUAACUAUGCACGUCUUGACGGUACCUAAUCAGAAAGCCACGGCUAACUACGUGCCAGCAGCCGCGGUAAUACGUAGGUGGCAAGCGUUAUCCGGAAUUAUUGGGCGUAAAGCGCGCGUAGGCGGUUUUUUAAGUCUGAUGUGAAAGACCACGGCUCAACCGUGGAGGGUCAUUGGAAGCUGGAAAACUUGAGUGCAGAAGAGGAAAGUGGAAUUCCAUGUGUAGCGGUGAAAUGCACAGAGAUAUGGAGGAACACCAGUGGCGAAGGCGACUUUCUGGUCUGUAACUGACGCUGAUGUGCGAAAGCGUGGGGAUCAAACAGG